This is a long non-coding RNA of Talpa occidentalis (Iberian mole), 481 nucleotides long. RefSeq lists it as uncharacterized. Lineage: Eukaryota; Metazoa; Chordata; Mammalia; Eulipotyphla; Talpidae. The record is from RefSeq and is a predicted model, not a curated record. The transcript has 3 exons.
GACCCUGAAAGCCCUACCUGGGUGUUCCUUCCUCCCAGGCUUUUCUCCUCUGGACACUACUGGGUGACCCCACAAAUCUUCACAACCUCCUGAGCGCCCGUCUUAUGAUCAUGGUCACCCUCGGUGUGGCAGUUAGUUGAAGAUGAUUCAGAAAGUUCUACUACAGUUUAAAAGCAAUGGAACAAAGAACAGCUCCUGGAAAUCACUUCACUAUUCACAAUACCCAGCUGAACUACCAUCCCCACAUAGAGCAACUUCACGGACUCUUCAGCAUGCGAUUCAAACAAGGAUCAUCCCGUUGUCUGCUCAUCUGUCUGGGAAUUUGAUGUGCAAGAAUCCGCAGAUGAAGGCUACAAAGAUGUACAGGGUUUAAGGAAUUACUCGAAGCAAACACUGAUGAAGCUACCUCAUUUAGGUCAAGUAAUAAUAAUCCAGCCUCUGUCUCCAGGAAAAAGCCCAACACCUUCACUGUUGUUAUGGA